AGUUGGUCCGAAGGUUGUGGGUUAUUGUUAAAAUGAUUAACAUUGUCUCCCUCCACACCAGUGCUUGACUAACUGGGGGGAUAUA
Cavia porcellus (domestic guinea pig) is the source of this 85-nucleotide unclassified non-coding RNA. It matches the Rfam family "Y RNA". Rfam says of the family: Y RNAs are components of the Ro ribonucleoprotein particle (Ro RNP), in association with Ro60 and La proteins. The Y RNAs and Ro60 and La proteins are well conserved, but the function of the Ro RNP is not known. The record is from Ensembl. Lineage: Eukaryota; Metazoa; Chordata; Mammalia; Rodentia; Caviidae.